Molecule: non-coding RNA, 948 nt
Organism: Gadus chalcogrammus (walleye pollock)
Lineage: Eukaryota; Metazoa; Chordata; Actinopteri; Gadiformes; Gadidae
Source: the annotation of a RefSeq genome assembly
UAUGCUCACUGCCAGCCAUCACAAACACACCCAGAGCAAGAUGAGGUCGUCCACAGCCUUGCUAGCAGUGUUGGCGUUUCUUACUCAUGAGUCGUCUGCCAGUUCAUUUCUGACACAACCUGACAAAUCCAAGACCGUCGGUCUGGAGGGGACUGUGUCCAUCAGUGCCACGGGGAGCUCAGAUAUUGGUAGUACUCUCUACUGGUACAUCCAGAAACCUGGAGAAGCUCCCAAACUGCUGACAUCCAAUGCAGUCACCCGCUAUUCAGGGACCCCAGCUCGGUUCAGCGGCAGUAUGUCUGGGACUAGCUACACUCUCACCAUCUCUGGUGUCCAGAGGGAGGAUGCAGCAGUAUAUUACUGUCUGGGUUACCACGGUAGCAAUGGGUACACUUUUGGUGGAGGCACCAAACUCAUCAUUGACUUGGGAGUGGUGCAGCCCACGCUGAGCGUCCUCCCUCCCUCCAGAGUGGAGCUGGAGCAGGGCAGUGCUACACUAGUGUGUGUGGCCAGUGGGGGCUUCCCCUCAGACUGGAAGCUUGGCUGGAAGGUGGGGGGCAGCAGCAGGUCUGGGGGGGUGUCUGAUAGCCUGGGGGUCCUGGGGAAUGAUGGCCACUACAGCGGGAGCAGCACCUUGACCCUCCCUGCAGACCAGUGGAGGAAGGCGGGCUCAGUGAGCUGUGAGGCCAGUAAGAAUGGCCAGACGCAGCCUGUCACUCAAACCCUGAAUCCUGGAGACUGUUCAGAGUAGAGAGGCUCCAGCAUGGAAGUACUGGAGAACACAGAUCUCCUCUGACACGUCUGCUUUAUGUGUUUCUGUCUCAGGUGGCAAUGCAGCUUUAGAUGAUUUACAUUAAUAUAACACGUCUUUGAUUCAUUAACGUUAUGCUUUCAAAUUUUUACCCGUUGCUUGUGUUGGUCACAUGUUGAACAUUAAAUAAAGAUGUA